UGGCAGAGGAAGGCAAGCCUGUCCCUGUCCCCACCAGGCCCCGGCCCAGAUAGAGCCAUGGGGGGCUUUGCCUGGCAGAAGCACAGAUUGUACAAUCUCAGAUUUCAGAGUCAGAACUGGCAGGGGAAGUGGCGUCAGCAGCUGGCGUGAUCCAAUUCAAUAAGCCAGGGACGGCUUGGGGUAAGAGGCAGGCCAUGGAAGGACCCCCGCCCCCAAUCCCUGCAUUUCCUGCACAGUCAGGGUGUCCCAGGAAGCCCUGAUCCCAUCCCCUGCAGAAAAAAACAAACAAACAAACCAGAGUUUCCCCGUGGCGCCCUCCACACCCCUCUCUGGGCCACCCGGAGAGCCGGAGAGCCGUGAGCUCCCCACCACCCCUCUCUCCAGCUGCUGGAACCGCUAAAGCCCUGAAGGGGCGAGGGGUGCAGAACCCUCCACUACCCGGCGGGUCUGGGCGGGACCUUCUAGGCCUCAGGCACCUCUUGGAAGGAAGAGAGUGAUCCCUCCUUCAGGGCCUAAGGUAGAGAUGGGGUAGGAAGGAGAGGGCAGUUAGCGGGCAGUGAGCGUCCGCACUAGGCAGCUGGGAAAGUAUAGCCUUAGAAGUCUGGGGCUCCCGCGGCCCCUGGGGCGGCGAGACAGCCUCCCCCACCCCACCCCCACGCAAGCCCCGCCUGGAUUGCCCGCGUGAGUCUGGUGGGGCUGGGGGGUCACCUCCCCCCCCAAGCCUCCCGACCCUUGGACUCCACAGUAGAGAGCGGACCCCGCGUUCGAGGAUCACACUGGAGCGCGGGGCCUCCACUUCCCUGCAGAGGAGCCGUGGAGAUAGAAAACGGUGGGGGAAGCGGGGUGACAAGGUGGACAGCUGCGCCCUCCCCGGCUGGCGCCCAGGGGUGAGAGGUGUGGCGGGUUUACCGCUCGCUCACCUUCUCCUGCGCCCGGGUCAGCUUCUUCUGUACGUUGCUGGCGAUCUUCCCCGCCGUCACCCCCUUGCUCCCCAUCUCGGCCAUCGCGGCGCCGGCCUCGCCCGUGGCGAGCGCGGAUAAUGGCGCGGGGAGGCCGUGCGCGCCGCGCUCCCAGCCUCCAGCCCCGGCCGCUCCACCAGCCCGAGCUCUGGCUCCACGCCGCGCACUCGAACAGCUCGGGGGACUGACGGAGACGGAGCCUGCGCGGGGAGAGCGAGGCCAUUCCUGGAUCCCGAGCCUCACCGCCCGGGAGGAGGGAGCCUGGGGGCGGGCGCCGUGGGGCUGAGGGACGGGGACACCCCCCACGGCGUGCUAGCGACUUCGCCUAGGGCCGGGAACUACCUACGCUGUCCCCAGUUCAGCGCCACUGCGAUCCUGCGGCUUAAAGUCCUCCUCCCAAGCAGAUACCGCCUGCAACCCUGGAAAGCUGAGGAUGACUGAACUUCUGAUCCUCCUGCAUCUACCCCCUAGACUCUGAGGUUACAAGUAUGUGCUGUGGGGCCCAAUUGAUGAAGUGCUAUGUGUAGGUCCCAGAGCCUCAUGCAUGCUAGGCAAGUGCUCUAGCCAACUGAGCCACAUCCCCAGGCCUGUCAAAGCAAUUUCUUCCAACACUCCUUGCGGAAAGAAAUGAGCAGAAGUCAAAUUCUAUUACGGUCAGCCCCCGGGAAGAGAAGAUUCUGCUUCAUCGGGCUUUUGGUCUUUCAAAAUAUGACAGAAAAAUACAAAGCAGCAGAGAUGUUCCUCGGUGGAAAAGGGUCAGCCUCGCCAGCCCAGCAGUAAGAGAAGCCAUGAGGGGAACCUUUCGCAAUCAGGACACAAUAGGAAAGUGAUGCCCUUGGCAUAAUUAUAAAUGAAAAGACAGCCAGAGAUAUGCAUGUGUUUUCCUUAAAUCUAUGUAGGAAUUAAUCAGAUGCCUAGGAUCAAAGACUCAGAACAACUAAACAUCAAGAAAGAAGACUGAGGUCCUAACUCCAUCUCCAGAACUCAAAUAAAAAAGCCACGCCAGCCAGCCAGUGAGAGACCCUGUCCCAAAAACCAAGCCCCUGAGGAACCAUAGCCAAGCUUAGUCUCCCACCCCACCCCACCCCCACACACACAUACAAACACACCCGGGGUGGGGGCAGCCAGACUAGUUAGCACAUCCCAGGUAAAGGCGGGUAACCCUGUCUCUAAAAACGAGUAUAUUGAGGAAUGAUGUCCGAGAUUGUUGUCUGGUCUCCGUGUGCACCCAUACACACAGAUACACACAUACGGAAAUUCCAAACAUGAAUGUUAUGAGGAAACUGUUUUUGAGAACAGUAUUUGGGAAGCAAAAAUGUGGUAAGAGAGAAAUCAAAUGCUUAACAGGGAACAGAGUAUGUGCACCUGAGUUUAGAGAGGCCGAGAAACAAUGUUUGCAUGUUUCUAAUAGACUUUAUGUUUCAGAACAGCUUUUUUUUUUUCUUUUUCAAGAUUAAUUUGUUCUAACUUGUGUGUAUGUGCAUGUGACUGCUGUUGCCCAGAGAGGCCAGAAGAGGGUUUCAGAUCCCAUGGAGCCAGAGUUACCGGCAGUUUUGAUCCACCCAACACAGGACCAUGGAAACAAACACGGGUCCUCUGCAGGAGCAGAACACGCUUAACUGCUGAGCCAUCUUUCCAGCUCCCUUUAGAACGGUUGUAGGUUUACAACAAAACUGAGCCAAAGACACAGCAAUUCCCCGUGUAUCUGCCCCUCACAGCCAUGCACUAGCUUCGUUUCUGUUGUUGUGAUAAAAUGCCUGACAAAAAGCAAUGUAGGGGAGAGGGAUUUGCUUUACCCUGAAAUUCCAGGUUUUAGUCCCUCAUAAUGAGAACAGCACAGUCGCAAAUGCUUAAGGGACUUAGUUUCAUCAAAAGCUGAGAGAAUAUCUACUUAAUGCUCAGCUAGCUUUCGACACUCUUUUACAACCCAGGGCCCAACAAUAGGAAAUGGUGCCACCCAUUUUCACAUGAACUCUUUUUCCCAUCACCUAAGGCCAUCAAAAUAAUCCCCUACAGACGUGCGCACAACCCUCUUAAUCUAGGCAAUCCCCCACAGACAUGCGGACAUGUGCACAGCCCACUUGAUCUAGACACGUACACACACAGACAUGCCCACAGGCCCGCUUGAGCAAGACAACCCUCCCCACACACACACAGACAUGCACACAGGCCAGCUUGAGCUAGACAGACUCGCACAGAGGUUCUCUUUCCAGCUGAUUCUAAAUUGUAUCAGGUUGACAGUUAAAACCAACCCUAACGUGUAGCCUUCCCCACCACCAACAUCUGCAUCAGAGCGGCCCCUUUAUUAUAGUUGAUGAACCUGAUAAUCUCAGGAUCCCCCAAACUGUGUAUUUCCAUUGAGGUUCAUUUUUGGUGGUAUGCAUUCCAUGGAUUUAGACAAGCGUACAAUAACUAUAGCAUCAUAAACACCAUAUAUGGGGCACUUAACUGUCUCCUGUGUUCCAGUUAUUCACCCCUCCAUCCCCAACUCCUAUCAACCCAUGAUCUGAUCACACCCCCACUCGUGCACCUCUUCCAAAAUGUCAUAUAGUUGGAACCACACAGCACAUUACUGUUUCAAGGAUAUUUGAUCCCAUUGUGAACCCCGAGAUUGUGAACUGUAAAACCCUGUUUCAUGUUUGGUGUGGUUGAGCCCUAUCACACACCUUUCAUCCAAGAUCUUUCUGUUUAUUGUAAACGGGUGGUUAUGGUGUGGUUCAGCCAUCCCUAGCACACACCUUUAGUCCAAGAGCUCUCUGUACAUGGGAUUUGAUAAAGUUAACCCUAGGUCAAGAGAUGGAGCAAGAAACCAACUGACUGGGAUUAAAGAGUAGGAGGAAUUUUGAGUACGUUGAUGGGUGUUUAAGACAGCAUGCUGAAGUGGAAGGAGCUUUAGCUCUAUAGCUCUUGAGCAUUAGCUUUCUGGCCUUUGGGGCUUUUUGAGCUUUGAGCUAGCAAGCUUUUGCUUUGAGUUUUUCAGUCUUUACCUUCUGGGCUGUCAGCUGAGCUACUGAGCUUUUUGGGUUGUGGGGUUUUUUGUUUGUUUGUUUUGUUUGUUUGUUUGUGUGUUUUCCAUCUGGGACAUGAGCUGGGUAGGAAGACCAGCUGGGUGCUUCCACUGCCUCUCUGAGCUAGCAGGUUUUCACCCCAGCAUCUGGCUCCUGAGUCUUCAUUGGUAAAAUCCAACAGUUGGGAUUUUCAUUCUUUAUAACAACACAUUACCCUUAUGGAUUUGAGAGUCCUAGUUCACUUCCGUCACAGGUGUAGGGAGACAGCUCAGUGGUUAAAGUGCUCAUCACACAAGACUGAGGACAAAAUUCUGGAUUGCGGAAUCCACAUAAAUGCUAGCUGGGUGUGAUAGUCCGCCUGUAAUUCCAGCCUUAAAAAGCAGAGAUAGGGUCACCGGAGCCGGUCAGCUAGUGGGACUAGCCCUGUCAGCCAGAUCUGGGUUUGACCGAGAGAUAUCAGUGACUAAGGUAGAACAAUCAAGAAUGAUGUAUGACAUCAACCUUAGCCCUCCACAUGCAAACCCAUGCAUUUGUAUAUAGAUAGAACAUAAAGGGGGGGGAGGGCUGAGAUCCCUGUAUCUUCCCGUGGCCUGAUAGCUCCUUUCCUUCAGCCCUAUAUAACAUCCCAUUGUCUAAAACACCACAGCUGUCACACUCACCUAUUACGGGACAUAUUUUUUGUUUCUAAUUUUGGAAAAUUUUAAGCAAAGCAGCUGAAAACAGCCAUACUUGGUAUUCAUAAACAGAAAUAGACUCCCUUGGAUUAGUAUUAAGAAGUACUUACUAUUGCUGGACCAAAUGACAAGAAUAAACUCAGUGUUGAAAGGAUUUCCCAAGCUAGAGUAUCUGGAUGAUUUUGCAUUCCUACCAGCAAAAGUUGAUUCUUAGCACUCUGUCCACACCCCAUCAGCAUUUUGGUACUGUCAGUGUUCUGGAUUUAGUGGUUCUCAUAGAUGUAGUGAUGUCCAUUUUAUAGCCGUGCUAAUGAUGGUAAUUUUUUCCUUGCAGAGAAACAGGAUUUCCCCAUGUUUCUUUUAUGCUUUAGGUUGUAAAUCUUUAAUGGCUGAAUUAUGAAUUUAUUUCAUAAUUCAAGAACAGAAGAAUAUUAUUUAACUAUCUCAUUGUUAUCGCUUAUAUUUUUAUUAAAAAGUAUUAUUUUGUUUUACGUGUGCAAGUGUUUUGCAAUUCAUGCACACCUAAUGCUGGAGGCCAAAAAGGACAACAGAUUCCCUGAGUUAUAGGUGGUUAUGAGACACCAUGUGCAUUAUUGGAAUCGAACCUGGGUCACCUAUACUCUUGAUUAUCAGAUGCUAACCAUAACCAGUGCGGAGCCUUUUCAGACUAGCCUCUUUCACUUAGUAAUAUGCAUUUAAGAAUCUUUUGUUGUGGUAUCAGAAGGUGCCAUGAAAGUUUUCAAGGAAAAGAAGCAACCUGCCCAGCUAUGAUGCCUAUGAACUAAAACAAUGAGUCCACCACGGCACAAAAUCCCUAAGGGUUUAAUAAAGGUACGAGUACCAUCAGCAUCUCUCUAAAUGGACUUAAAACCCAGUCACCAAGAGGGAAGUCAUGCAUGGUACUGGAAACCUAGCCAGCUACCUGGGGCUGGUGAAUUCAUGGAUCUUGAAAGAGAGCCUGCAACUGUCAUUUAUUAAAACCAGCAUAAUGUCUACUUACGUUCUAAUUAUUUGUCCCCAUGCCCACAUGUAAGUAUAGUUUUCAUCCCCAACAAAGAAAUGUCUCUUUGCAACAGGCAGAGACCAUUACAGAAAAUCAGAAUUGAUUAAAAUGCAAAGAACAAGUUAUCUUAUGGUGCCUAGCCCCAACUGAUACAUCUAUUAACACAACUCCAGCAUCAAAGGUCAAGGGCUAGGGAGGAAGAGGGAGAGGAAAGACUGUAACAAUCAGAAACACAGAGAGUGUACUGUGAGAGCUCAGCUCCUAGAAAUGUCAGAGAAGCUGCACCUACAGUCUCAUCAACAUGGCUGCCUAAACAGAACUGAACAAGGGAUACACCAAUAGACAUGCUAAUAUGGAAGGUGGUCAUCUACCGGGCCUCACCCAGAGACGAAGAACUACAGGCAACUGAGGAGUGCUGAGAGCUAGAGAAAUAAGUCUUCUCCAGCACCCCUACAGUGGAUGACAGACUGGCCCAGGAGAACUGAAUCUCGAGAGCCCGCUGACAAAGAGAAAAAAGAGAGAGACCCUGCCUCAAAACAAGCUGAAAGAAGAAAACUGAGUCUGGAAAGUUUUUCCCUGACUUUCACAUGCCAUAUCCACAUCUAAACUCACACACACAUCAUAAAUAAAUAAAUGUUUUAAAAGAAGUUCGAGGUCACAAAAUAUUGCUAAAUGGAAGUUGAAAAUCCUGAAAGCUUUCUCUCCCCAAGGCACUGUUGUGAAAAUGAGGAAGUGAUCCCCACAGAUACACCUGCCUGUGAUGUGCAGAUCUGACAAAAGACUUGUAUACAGAAUACACAAGGACUUGCUCUAAUUCCCUAAUAAGAAGAAAUAGAUUGCUAAAAACAAGCAGGCAAAUAAUUCAAAGGAACCCUUCCCCAAAGAAAAUCCACAGCUGCCAAUCAGCACAGUACAAUGGUUAAUACUGAUUGUCAACUUGACGAGAUCUAGGACCACUUAAGAUGCAAACUCCUGCGUGGGUCUUUCCAUAUUUUUGUCUUUUACUCCUGUCUGUUCUACUACCCAAAUCCAUAAUACAUAUGCAAAAUCCAGCUAUGAAGCCAUUUCAGUGUUUACGUCCUUGGUGACUGUGUGUCAGGACACAACUGGGUGGAUAGAGGUGGUCCCCAACUCCAGUGCUCAGGCAUCACAGCUUUGCCCAGACAGGCUAUAUCCAGACGGGACUCUAAAUUUACCUUUUUCUAAAAACAGGUGUACAUAGGUACACACAUACAUGCACACACACACACACACACACGUCUCCACCCAGACCCAGCUUCUCCCCACCAGCAUCCACACCUUGGAGACUAAGGAUCCAGACUCAGGUCCUUGUGUCUGAGCAGCAGGCACCUUAGUGACUGAUCUGUUUCCCAGCUUCUAGCCCCAAUUGGUAACCCAAUGGUGAACGAGGAUGUGUGUUCUUCUUCUCCAAAUGGUGAUUAAAGUUGUGGAGGAAAUCACUCUUGUAGGAAAAGAAUCACUUCCUGCUCAGGCACCACAUUGAAGACUUGUAACACACUUUGCAAAAUAUUGCUUUUCCCCUGAGUACAGGAGACUCCAUUAGAGAGCCAGAGCCUUCAGCUCUGACUUAGGGAGAUAGACACACAGUUAACAGUGGUACCCAGUAUCAUCCUUGGGUCUGGGCACAGACCAAGCAUUCAGAAAAUGUGCCAUGGAAGGGCUGUAGGAACCAUUCGUCCAACCUCAGAUAUGGCGCUCAGCACUGGGAAGAGAAUGGAAAGGUCCUGGCCCCCUAGAGCCCGAUCCCAUCCAUGGCAAGUGUAUCUGUCUAACCUUGUCCGCCUGUCCAUCUUCUCACUUAUGCCUACUCUUGUCACUUUCUCUCCUGUGGGUGCCUGUUCCCGUGGGGGUGGGUUCAUGUGCGUUUGAGAGGAAAGCCACAAGUGUCGUUCUUCCAGUACUGUCUAUUUUGGUUUUAGAGGUAGGGUCUCUCAUUGGUCUUAACUAAUCGGCUACACCCCAAGGAUUGGCCCAUCUCUGCCUCCCUAACUCUACGAUCACAAACAUGAGCACUGGGCCCAGCCCUUCUUUCAUAGUGGUUCUAGGGGGUAAAUGCAGGUUCUCAGCUUGCAAGGCGUGCAGCUAAGCCAUCUGCCCAACCAUUCUCUACGCACUCUGGCUAGGGUCUGGACAGGACUCAAGCAUUUUAAGUCAUAUUUCACUCAUGUUUUUUUCCUGACGCUCUCUGUCUCGCUUCUGAAGUGAACACCUACUAACUCCGCCCGGCUACCCAAUUCCAGGAGCUGCUGGAAGCCCCGGGGACACAGCUGGCUGGACCCUGAGGACGGGCUCGCUGGGACAGACAGACGCACAUUCACCCAAGUGCAGGUUUGGCCAGGUCUGAAAUCUACACAGCAGGCCAGCAGACUGGAAACUCCUUUGAUUUCUGGUCACACUCCAGCUAAUGCUUUCAAUUCCAGAAGACUGCAGUUUUGGCUAGCCCUGCCUUUAUCUGACAGCACAAGAUUCACCCACAUUACAAAGGGCUGCCGUUGUGACUGACAUUACCUGACUACGUAUGCCAAUCAUAGCUACAAAAUUUCCUCCUCCUGCAGCAGCUCUACCAGUGUUUAACAAAGCAGGGUCCAACCAUACCGAUAUAUAAAACCAACAAGCACAAAUAACUUCUUUUUUCCCCCAGCAAUAACCUCCAGCUCAUUGCUACAGACUGCAUGUUUGUGCUCCCCACCCCCAAAUUAAUGUGUCGGAUGAAAAUCUUUUA
This is a long non-coding RNA of Meriones unguiculatus (Mongolian gerbil), 8387 nucleotides long. RefSeq lists it as uncharacterized. The record is from RefSeq and is a predicted model, not a curated record. The transcript has 6 exons. NCBI's taxonomy places the organism in Eukaryota, Metazoa, Chordata, Mammalia, Rodentia, Muridae.